ACCUCCGAAAUGGAAAGACUUCUUCAGAUCAUGUCGUCCACUGAAGACGAAAAGUUUUCCCUAAAUCAGCAGAUAAAGGAAUUACAAGACUCUCUCCGAGACAGGGAAGCUAAGUUGUUGUUACUGAUAGUUUGAAAGCUACACGGUUAUAGGUACUUUAUCUUUACCUAGCUCUCUCCGAGACAGGGAAGCUAAAUUGUUGUUACUGAUAGUUUGAAAGCUACAGGGUUAUAGGUACUUUAUCUUUACCUAGCUCUCUCCGAGACAGGGAAGCUAAAUUAAACAGUAUGAAACGAAGUAUUCAGGCAGAAAAAGGUAAAGGAGUUCCAGUUACAGAAGACCAUCGAAGGAGAGAUACGGACCAGAAUAAAGAUGCUUCAAAAGGACAGCAGUCCGGACCUGCUAGUUUUUUUUCUAGUUUCUUUUAAGCAAUUUUUUGCACUGCUUACGUUUUGGUUUUGUUUGGUUUGAAGACAGUAAAUAUUAGCUCAUGAUUUCAUUAUCAAACAAUCAUCUUCCGUAGAGUUGGUGAAUUUCAAUUUAUUCAAAUUGCAAUAAUUAAAAAACAAAAACAAACAGUAACGUGCCUUCAGUUUCUUGUUUAAAAAUUAUUGUUUAUUUGUUGACUGUUGAAACACACGAAGUACAUUUAUGUCACUGCCUUCUUGCUUUCUCUUAUCAAGUUUACCCUCCUUGAAUGUACCCCCUUCCUUCCCUUUGUUUUCUUCAUAAUAACAUUUUUGACAGAAACCACAACGAAGCAGAGUUGGUGGAAAACGACUUCUGGUCAGUUUGGAAAGAUCACGUGAGGUCCACUUUAAGGUCACGUGACAAAACAGAGGAAUUUGCGAACAGUGUGAAAUGGACACGUUUUGGCAAGAAUGUGCUUUUUGCGAAUAAAUUUUUUCACUCGAGUAAAUUCGCUGGUUUGUGCUUCCUCGUGGUACUUGCAGCAAAUAGUCUACUUUUAUAACUAUUGUCGGCCUUUCUUUAUCAUGUAAUAAGUUGGGACAUGAAAUGUGACAUGUUCGAAUUUUUAUAUUUAGAAACCAAUCCAAGAAAUUUUCUGCAAAAAGUAUUUUGUGGACCUUUAUAUGCAGAGAUAAUGUUGAUUUUUUGUGGUGAACUUCAAGAACAUUUCUCAAAACGUAAAUAAGAAACCUUUUGCCGGCCUACUACUUUGUGUUAAAAUGAACUUUGAAGGAAGAACAUGUUAGUUUCUUUGGUGAAGCUUGUGAAAUAAUAAUAUCUUAAUGUAGCCUUUAGCAGGCUAGAACUGAGCGCGAAAAAACGUACAGAAAGUUAUGAAGUCUAACAACAAUGAACACGUUUUGACAAUGUAGUAAUAUGUGUAAAGAUCGGUAAUUGAUUGGGUAGAUUUGAUCAGUAACCAGUUUUAGUAUCUUAUUUAAACGAUCAGUAAUCAGUUGGAAUAGUUUGUUUAAAUUAUCAUUAACAAUUUAAAGUAAUUUGUUUAAAUGAUCGGUAGUAAGUUGGAGUAAUAUGUUUAGAUGAUCAGUAAUCAGUUAAAGUAAUUUGUUUAAAUGAUCGGUAGUAAGUUGGAGUAAUCUGUUUAAAUACAUACUAAUCAAUUUUGGGUUAUGGUUAGACCAUAAUUCAGUUAGGUUAAUUUUUUAAUGUUUGACUAUUUGAGGUAUUUUUUAAAUUAUCAGUAAUCAGUUUUGGUAUCUUGUUUAAAUAGUCGAUAAUCAGUGGGGAUCUCUUGUUUAAAUAGUCAGUAUUCAGUGGAGGUACCUUGUUUAAAUGGUCAAUAAUCAAUGGAUUGGCUUGUUUAAAUGGUCAAUAAUCAAUGGAUUAGCUUGUUUAAAUGGUUAAUAAUCAAUGGAUUAGCUUGUUUAAAUGGUCAGUAAUCAAUGGGAGUAUCGUGUAUAAGUGAUAUAUAAUAUAUUUAAAUUCUUUCUGGUAAUAAUCCUUAAGCCUAGCACGUGUAAGCUGAUUUCAGGGUUUACAAAUUUCUUUAUCGCAAUUGUUAUCAGUUUCUCAAAAUUAAUGAUUGAUACUUUUAGAUUUCAUAACAACUAUGCCAUUAAAUUCCAAGUAUGUUUAUUUGAAAGUUGUCUAAUUUUUUAAAAUUUUAUAAAACAAAUGAAACCUUUAAACAUAUGCUGUAAUAUCUGUAUAAGUUAUAAGCACGUGCGGAGUAAAGGAUACAUUUCGUGGUAAUGAUUUUUCAAAUUUAAUACUUUUAGUGACAAAAGAAA
RNAcentral lists this unclassified non-coding RNA (2222 nucleotides) under Limulus polyphemus (Atlantic horseshoe crab). RNAcentral describes it as "uncharacterized LOC111083975, transcript variant X2". The record is from RNAcentral. Lineage: Eukaryota; Metazoa; Arthropoda; Merostomata; Xiphosura; Limulidae.